UCCGUAGGCGGUGUGGCAAGUCGGUAGUGAAAUCUCUCGGCUUAACUGAGAGGCUGCUGCCGAAACUGCCAUGCUCGAGUGCGAGAGAGGCGAGUGGAAUUGCGGGUGUAGCGGUGAAAUGCGUAGAUAUCCGCAGGAACAUCCGAGGCGAAAGCGGCUCGCUGGAUCACAACUGACGCUGAGGGACGAAAGCUAGGGGAGCAAACAGGAUUAGAUACCCUGGUAGUCCUAGCCCUAAACCAUCAGGACUUGGGGUUUGCCCUGUACGGGGCAAGUCCCGGAGCUAACGCGUUAAGUCCUGCGCCUGGGGAGUACGGUCGCAAGGCUGAA
This 330-nucleotide ribosomal RNA is filed under the name uncultured bacterium. RNAcentral's name for it is "bacterial SSU rRNA". It matches the Rfam family "Bacterial small subunit ribosomal RNA", at positions 568 to 898 of the family's 1533-position model. The record is from RNAcentral.